Molecule: ribosomal RNA, 427 nt
Filed under: uncultured bacterium
Lineage: Bacteria
Description: partial 16S ribosomal RNA
Rfam family: Bacterial small subunit ribosomal RNA
Source: RNAcentral
UGGGGAAUAUUGCACAAUGGGCGCAAGCCUGAUGCAGCCAUGCCGCGUGUAUGAAGAAGGCCUUCGGGUUGUAAAGUACUUUCAGCGAGGAGGAAGGCGUUGUGGUUAAUAACCGCAGCGAUUGACGUUACUCGCAGAAGAAGCACCGGCUAACUCCGUGCCAGCAGCCGCGGUAAUACGGAGGGUGCAAGCGUUAAUCGGAAUUACUGGGCGUAAAGCGCACGCAGGCGGUCUGUCAAGUCGGAUGUGAAAUCCCCGGGCUCAACCUGGGAACUGGAUCCGAAACUGGCAGGCUAGAGUCUUGUAGAGGGGGGUAGAAUUCCAGGUGUAGCGGUGAAAUGCGUAGAGAUCUGGAGGAAUACCGGUGGCGAAGGCGGCCCCCUGGACAAAGACUGACGCUCAGGUGCGAAAGCGUGGGGAGCAAACA